ACCAAGCUUCCUACUCAUUCGUA
RNAcentral lists this non-coding RNA (23 nucleotides) under Arabidopsis thaliana (thale cress). Lineage: Eukaryota; Viridiplantae; Streptophyta; Magnoliopsida; Brassicales; Brassicaceae. The record is from RNAcentral.